Oxyura jamaicensis (ruddy duck) is the source of this 1261-nucleotide long non-coding RNA. RefSeq lists it as uncharacterized. The transcript has 2 exons. NCBI's taxonomy places the organism in Eukaryota, Metazoa, Chordata, Aves, Anseriformes, Anatidae. The record is from RefSeq and is a predicted model, not a curated record.
GGAGUCGGGCGCAUUUAUGCAGAUGUCUUGCCUUUGUGUGCGUGCGUGCGUGUGCGUGUGGAGCCGCGGGAGGAGCACAGCCGGGCCUCUGCAUGAGACCCGGCCCAGUCCCUAAAAUCGGGCAGAGAGGACCUGCGGGACUGCACGAGCAUGAAGCCGCAGCCUGGGGCCGCAGGGCUGCGUAGAUCGCGUGCAGCCGGGCUUCCUUCUGCAAUAUUCUGGGAGUUGUAGGAGAAAUUGGGAAAGCUUCAGGCCAGCGUGUCAAACGCAGCUUUAUUUUAUUUUAAUUUGUUCAUUGAAAACGAAAAGCGUUGCUUGGAGCGAAGGGGAAAUGGAGAACGGGGCUGUGUGUGACUUUGCACAUCCUUGAAUUCUUCCGGGCAGAAGAGAUCGAGUCGUGCUGCGGCGGCACGGGGAGCAUUUCCUUGGCUGCAGCUCCAGAGAGAGAGGCAAAACGGAGAAUUAUUUCAGUUAAGGAAAGACUGGGGCUGUUUGGGCAAAUUAAAUAGCUGGAAGGGUUCCCUGUAAAUGUGUCCACGGGGCUGCGGAGGCCGGCACCUACCCAAGCUUUGCGCCUGGCCACCAGGGCGAUGGAUGACGGCUCUCCGGGCUGUCCCCUCCUUCCUCUAGGGGAAAGAAAAGAAUUUUAUUCUGUGAAUAGGACCAAAUGCAUCGCUCUGGUUAGUUCUAGAGGAUGGAUUAAAAAACAAACAAACGUGUUGGCGAAUAAGGGGUUGUCAGAAGAGACGAACAAAGGGUGGUUCGGUAAAGCUAAAAAUGUUUUGAUGCUGUUUUCUCCCCUUUCACCCAACCUGUUCAGCUUUGAUGUUUCACCCCUUAGGGGUGGAUGUGAGCUGUUAUUUUCUCCAAAGACUCAAGAACAAAAGUGGGGCCCAGCCGUGCUGCCCGAGCGCUGGGGGAGGCUGCGGGGGACCCUCCGCAACGAACACUCCCUGGGGCCUCGGCAGCCCCACAGAGCACCCCAAAAAGCCUCCCUGGGACAGCCUGGCCCCCUGGCUCAUGGGUGAGUGUGUUUGUGUGUGGGUGUGUGUGUGUGUACAGGGGGGUGUGUGUGUGUGUACAGGGGGGUGUGUGUGUGUACAGGGGUGUGCGUGCAGGGCUGCGUGUGAGUGCACGCGUGUGAGUGCGACUCGCUCCUCAGGUGCCUUUGCCUUUGUGUUUUUUUUUUUUUUUAAACCCUCGCAGUGUUCUGAUGUACAAAAUGAAAACUAGAAGAGAAUGUAAUAUUAUGCCAUGUAAA